AUGGCUUCUCGGCCUUUGGCUAAGAUCAAGUGUAAUAUCUGUCCUUAUUAGUCUAAUAUCUGAUACGUCCUCUAUCCGAGGACAAUAUAUUAAAUGGAUAUUUGGAGCAGGGAGUUAGAAUAGGAGCUUGCUCCAUCCACUCCACACAUUGACCUGGUAUUGCAGUACUUCCAGGAAUGGUGCACCUUUC
This is a small nuclear RNA of Otolemur garnettii (small-eared galago), 190 nucleotides long. Its record names the gene U2. It matches the Rfam family "U2 spliceosomal RNA". Rfam says of the family: U2 is a small nuclear RNA (snRNA) component of the spliceosome (involved in pre-mRNA splicing). NCBI's taxonomy places the organism in Eukaryota, Metazoa, Chordata, Mammalia, Primates, Galagidae. The record is from Ensembl.